GCACCCGUAGCUCAAUUGGACAGAGCACUCGGCUACGAACCGAGAGAUCGGAGGUUCGAAUCCUCUCGGGUGUA
This 74-nucleotide transfer RNA is filed under the name Candidatus Blochmannia sansabeanus (nom. nud.). RNAcentral's name for it is "tRNA-Arg". It matches the Rfam family "tRNA". From Rfam's summary of the family: Transfer RNA (tRNA) molecules are approximately 80 nucleotides in length. Their secondary structure includes four short double-helical elements and three loops (D, anti-codon, and T loops). RNAcentral also lists the same sequence under 2 other names. Lineage: Bacteria; Pseudomonadati; Pseudomonadota; Gammaproteobacteria; Enterobacterales; Enterobacteriaceae. The record is from RNAcentral.